Non-coding RNA from Vigna umbellata (rice bean), 761 nucleotides. Lineage: Eukaryota; Viridiplantae; Streptophyta; Magnoliopsida; Fabales; Fabaceae. The record is from RefSeq and is a predicted model, not a curated record.
UGACCUAUAUAUUUAAGAUUGAUGGCAAUCUUAUCCUUCCUUGCAAAGUGAUCCUGUUAUAAAAUGACAAAUGUUUUUUAAAAUGGAAAAGAAAAAGAAUUGUACAAUUGAUUUUUCUAAUUAGAAAACCCUAAAACACUGACUUGUAAAUGCACUACUUGAUGCCGGGAUGAUGUCGGUCACCUACACGGACAUCAGCUCAGAGUAGCUGAAUAAACGCAACUAAAUACUCAAUAAGGCACUAAUGAGGUAUUAAGGCUAUUGAAUCAAGUUAAUUUAGACUCACUCAGAUAAAAGUCCAUUAAAAUAUUAUAAAUAGGUUUCCAUUUACGAGCUAUACAUUGUUUAUUGAUUGCUUAUUUGUUAUGUUUAAAAUAGGCUUUGCUGAAUUAAGUUUCAGAGUGUCUUUGUAGACACACCAUCCCUCUCAAUCAGAGAAGUGCCAAGGAGACAUCCUGGCAUGCCCUAAAACCUGAGGACGCAAGCAAGGAAAACAACGCACCAGAGAGCAAGUUGAAGCAGGAGUAAAUAUGCCAUCUAGCUAUUGGCUGAGAUAGAGAGGAGUGUGAUAAAUGAAACGUCAUUUCUCUCAAUUAGAGAAGUGCAAAGGAGACAUACUGACACAUCCGGAGACCUGAAGACACAUGCAAGCAAGCACAAUAGAGCAAGUUGAAGAAAGCAUCUUGGUCUUAUAUGGUUAUUUCAGUCCUCGUAAGAACAUCAUUAAUUAUUAAUAAUCUAUAAUUUGUCAUUCGAAAUUA